Hippocampus zosterae (dwarf seahorse) is the source of this 552-nucleotide long non-coding RNA. RefSeq lists it as uncharacterized. The transcript has 2 exons. The record is from RefSeq and is a predicted model, not a curated record. Lineage: Eukaryota; Metazoa; Chordata; Actinopteri; Syngnathiformes; Syngnathidae.
UUUUUACUGGGCCAAAAGCGCAGCCGCCAGACUCGGAGGACAUGCGGAAGGGACGCCAACCUGCAUUUGGACACGCGUGAGUACUGAGAUGUGUGGUGUGCUUGAAGAGCUGAUGUCUGAUGUCAUGUUGCACCACAAAGUGGAGGAGAGUGUGCCCGCCAGUCUUCUGCUUCGUGUACUGCACAACAGUGUCAACUCCACAUAGACAACCCGAGCAUCAUCAAGCACUUCUGGAAUAUGCCAUAUGACUAACUUGGCCCACUUCAAUGUCAUUUAAAACUUCACCAGAAUAGUGUGAUCAUGUUGUUGUGGAGUACACGGCAGUUAGUUUUUGUCUCGGUGAGAGAAGUCGGAUGUGCCCAUGUCCCCCUUGAUGGGUCAUGAGAUAUCAGUGACAUCACGCAUGAGCUGGUCAAGCACACGCUCCCAUCUCAGGCUUGUCGUCAGUGUUUGUGUGCGUACAACUUGAAGUGGACCACACAAAGAUUGACUGGUCAAAUGCUUUCACAUUGUCAUGUUUGCUUUUCUGUCCAAUAAAUUGUUCAACUUGAA